CUCUUAUCCAGAGUGGUGGAGGGAACGGCCCUACGAAGCCCGGCAACCAGCCCCGACUUGUCGGGGCGCGGUGCCAACUCCGACCCCCGCCCUGGGCGGGGGAAAGAUGAGAG
RNAcentral lists this non-coding RNA (113 nucleotides) under Chloroflexota bacterium. RNAcentral describes it as "Chloroflexi bacterium SAM-I sequence". It matches the Rfam family "SAM riboswitch aptamer (S box leader)". From Rfam's summary of the family: The SAM riboswitch is found upstream of a number of genes which code for proteins involved in methionine or cysteine biosynthesis in Gram-positive bacteria. Lineage: Bacteria; Bacillati; Chloroflexota. The record is from RNAcentral.